GACGAACGCUGGCGGCGUGCUUAACACAUGCAAGUCGAACGGAAAGGCCCUGCUUUUGUGGGGUGCUCGAGUGGCGAACGGGUGAGUAACACGUGAGUAACCUGCCCUUGACUUUGGGAUAACUUCAGGAAACUGGGGCUAAUACCGGAUAGGAGCUCCUGCUGCAUGGUGGGGGUCGGAAAGUUUCGGCGGUGGGGGAUGGACUCGCGGCUUAUCAGCUUGUUGGUGGGGUAGUGGCUUACCAAGGCUUUGACGGGUAGCCGGCCUGAGAGGGUGACCGGCCACAUUGGGACUGAGAUACGGCCCAGACGCCUACGGGAGGCAGCAGUGGGGAAUAUUGCACAAUGGGCGGAAGCCUGAGGCAGCAGCGCCGCGUGCGGGAUGACGGCCUUCGUGUUGUAAACCGCUUUCGCCUGUGACGAAGCGUGAGUGACGGUAAUGGGUAAAGAAGCACCGGCUAACUACGUG
RNAcentral lists this ribosomal RNA (468 nucleotides) under uncultured bacterium. RNAcentral's name for it is "partial 16S ribosomal RNA". It matches the Rfam family "Bacterial small subunit ribosomal RNA", at positions 28 to 507 of the family's 1533-position model. The record is from RNAcentral.